UACAGAGGGGGCAAGCGUUGUUCGGAAUUACUGGGCGUAAAGGGCGCGUAGGCGGCCUGCUAAGUCGAACGUGAAAUCCCUGGGCUCAACCCAGGAACUGCGUCCGAUACUGGUUGGCUUGAAUCCGGGAGAGGGAUGUGGAAUUCCAGGUGUAGCGGUGAAAUGCGUAGAUAUCUGGAGGAACACCGGUGGCGAAGGCGACAUCCUGGACCGGUAUUGACGCUGGGGCGCGAAAGCCAGGGGAGCAAACGGG
Molecule: ribosomal RNA, 253 nt
Filed under: uncultured bacterium
Lineage: Bacteria
Description: partial 16S ribosomal RNA
Rfam family: Bacterial small subunit ribosomal RNA
Source: RNAcentral